Molecule: unclassified non-coding RNA, 200 nt
Filed under: Ascomycota sp.
Lineage: Eukaryota; Fungi; Ascomycota
Description: partial internal transcribed spacer 2
Source: RNAcentral
UUAAGUUCAGCGGGUAUCCCUACCUGAUCCGAGGUCAACCUUGAGAAGUGGUUCGCGGCCAACGCGACGCCGGGCCCACAGAGCGAGGUUUGUGCUACGCUCAGAGCCGACAUCGAAUCGCCGAUGAUUUUAGGGGGGGUCCGCACCCGUAGGGCGGGACGUCCCCCAACACAAGCCAGGCUUGAGAGGUGAAAUGACGC